RNAcentral lists this ribosomal RNA (301 nucleotides) under uncultured bacterium. RNAcentral's name for it is "partial 16S ribosomal RNA". It matches the Rfam family "Bacterial small subunit ribosomal RNA", at positions 509 to 807 of the family's 1533-position model. The record is from RNAcentral.
CAGUCGCCACGGUAAUACGGAGGAUCCAAGAGUUAUCCGGAAUCAUUGGGUUUAAAGGGUCCGUAGGCGGUCUUGUAAGUCAGUGGUGAAAGCCCAUCGCUCAACGGUGGAACGGCCAUUGAUACUGCAGGACUUGAAUUAUUGGGAAGUAACUAGAAUAUGUAGUGUAGCGGUGAAAUGCUUAGAGAUUACAUGGAAUACCAAUUGCGAAGGCAGGUUACUACCAAUUGAUUGACGCUGAUGGACGAAAGCGUGGGUAGCGAACAGGAUUAGAUACCCGCGUAGUCCCUGUCUCUUAUAC